RNAcentral lists this long non-coding RNA (261 nucleotides) under Elaeis guineensis (African oil palm). Its description in RNAcentral is "long non-coding RNA (EGUI_LNC006946)". Lineage: Eukaryota; Viridiplantae; Streptophyta; Magnoliopsida; Arecales; Arecaceae. The record is from RNAcentral.
GGUCGUCCUUACAUAAAAACAAGUCAUAAAUGCCAGCUACACAUGUCGGCUACAUCUGCCUCACAUUACAUGAUAAGAAAAUAACAAGUCUACGGAUCAUUACAGUAACAACCUAUAAUUUCAUCCAAUAAAAUUAAUCAAAAAUAUUUUUUAAAUUUUUUGAUCUUAUAUAAAUAUUUAAAAUCUAUCUAUUAUUUAAUCAAAAUUAAUAAUUAAUAUACAUCAGUAGGGGUCCUCACAAUUACAAACAUAACAUAGUCC